GAUGAACGCUGGCGGCGUGCCUAAUACAUGCCAGUCGAGCGAACAGAUGAGGAGCUUGCUCCUCUGACGUUAGCGGCGGACGGGUGAGUAACACGUGGAUAACCUACCUAUAAGACUGGGAUAACUUCGGGAAACCGGAGCUAAUACCGGAUAAUAUAUUGAACCGCAUGGUUCAAUAGUGAAAGACGGUUUUGCUGUCACUUAUAGAUGGAUCCGCGCCGCAUUAGCUAGUCGGUAAGGUAACGGCUUACCAAGGCAACGAUGCGUAGCCGACCUGAGAGGGUGAUCGGCCACACUGGAACUGAGACACGGUCCAGACUCCUACGGGAGGCAGCAGUAGGGAAUCUUCCGCAAUGGGCGAAAGCCUGACGGAGCAACGCCGCGUGAGUGAUGAAGGUCUUCGGAUCGUAAAACUCUGUUAUUAGGGAAGAACAAAUGUGUAAGUAACUAUGCACGUCUUGACGGUACCUAAUCAGAAAGCCACGGCUAACUACGUG
Molecule: ribosomal RNA, 497 nt
Filed under: uncultured bacterium
Lineage: Bacteria
Description: partial 16S ribosomal RNA
Rfam family: Bacterial small subunit ribosomal RNA
Source: RNAcentral